AGAUAUCAGGACCAACUGGCAUCUGUCGCCCCUUUGGUUGCCAGGGUUGAUUCAGCUGAUCUGGCUGGCUAGGCAGGUGUCCCCUUCCUCCCUCAUCACUCCAUGUGUGUCCCUCCCGGAGCUGCAUGCUAGGUCAAAGAGGACAACCUUCCCUGAUAGAGGAGGACUGUUCUUUGGUCAAAGGUAUACCAGUAGCUUCAUUCCCCUGCUAGGACUUCCAAACAAGCUGUCAAGGUCCAUUUGUAGGAUAAUAUAGCAUAGGCAAGCUCCCAAAACCCUAGACACCUGCAGAUGAGGUGCUGCAUGUGGUAGAUUGCCUUUCUUA
Molecule: unclassified non-coding RNA, 325 nt
Organism: Ursus americanus (American black bear)
Lineage: Eukaryota; Metazoa; Chordata; Mammalia; Carnivora; Ursidae
Gene: 7SK
Rfam family: 7SK RNA
About the family: 7SK was discovered as an abundant small nuclear RNA in the mid-70s but a possible function has only recently been suggested. Two independent studies have found that 7SK RNA binds the CDK9/cyclin T complex (known as elongation factor P-TEFb). P-TEFb activates transcription by phosphorylating the C-terminal domain of RNA polymerase II.
Source: Ensembl